CACGGGUGCGUAACACGUAACUAACCUACCCAGAACUGGGGGAUAGCCCGCCGAAAGGCGGAUUAAUACCGCAUAACACGAGGUGGCGGCAUCGUCUCUUCGUUAAAGAUUUAUUGGUAGUGGAUGGGGUUGCGGGUCAUUAGCUAGUUGGCGAGGUAAAGGCUCACCAAGGCGACGAUGACUAGGGGAGCUGAGAGGCUGGUCCCCCACACGGGCACUGAGAUACGGGCCCGACUCCUACGGGAGGCAGCAGUAGGGAAUAUUGGGCAAUGGGCGAGAGCCUGACCCAGCCAUGCCGCGUGCAGGAAGAAGGCUUUCUGAGUCGUAAACUGCUUUUGAUAGGGAAGAAUAAGCUGUACGUGUACAGUGAUGACGGUACCUACAGAAUAAGCACCGGCUAACUCCGUGCCAGCAGCCGCGGUAAU
RNAcentral lists this ribosomal RNA (425 nucleotides) under uncultured bacterium. RNAcentral's name for it is "bacterial SSU rRNA". It matches the Rfam family "Bacterial small subunit ribosomal RNA", at positions 100 to 524 of the family's 1533-position model. The record is from RNAcentral.